RNAcentral lists this ribosomal RNA (496 nucleotides) under uncultured bacterium. RNAcentral's name for it is "partial 16S ribosomal RNA". It matches the Rfam family "Bacterial small subunit ribosomal RNA", at positions 29 to 507 of the family's 1533-position model. The record is from RNAcentral.
AUGAACGCUGGCGGCGUGCCUAAUACCUGCCAGUCGAGCGAACGGACGAGAAGCUUGCUUUUCUGAUGUUAGCGGCGGACGGGUGAGUAACACGUGGAUAACCUACCUAUAAGACUGGGAUAACUUCGGGAAACCGGAGCUAAUACCGGAUAAUAUUUUGAACCGCAUGGUUCAAAAGUGAAAGACGGUCUUGCUGUCACUUAUAGAUGGAUCCGCGCUGCAUUAGCUAGUUGGUAAGGUAACGGCUUACCAAGGCAACGAUGCAUAGCCGACCUGAGAGGGUGAUCGGCCACACUGGAACUGAGACACGGUCCAGACUCCUACGGGAGGCAGCAGUAGGGAAUCUUCCGCAAAGGGCGAAAGCCUGACGGAGCAACGCCGCGUGAGUGAUGAAGGUCUUCGGAUCGUAAAACUCUGUUAUUAGGGAAGAACAUAUGUGUAAGUAACUGUGCACAUCUUGACGGUACCUAAUCAGAAAGCCACGGCUAACUACGUG